Molecule: ribosomal RNA, 440 nt
Filed under: uncultured bacterium
Lineage: Bacteria
Description: bacterial SSU rRNA
Rfam family: Bacterial small subunit ribosomal RNA
Source: RNAcentral
CUACGGGAGGCAGCAGUGGGGAAUAUUGGACAAUGGGCGCAAGCCUGAUCCAGCCAUGCCGCGUGAGUGAUGAAGGCCCUAGGGUUGUAAAGCUCUUUCGCCAGGGACGAUAAUGACGGUACCUGGAUAAGAAGCCCCGGCUAACUUCGUGCCAGCAGCCGCGGUAAUACGAAGGGGGCUAGCGUUGUUCGGAAUCACUGGGCGUAAAGCGCACGUAGGCGGAUCUUUAAGUCAGGGGUGAAAUCCCGAGGCUCAACCUCGGAACUGCCCUUGAUACUGAGGAUCUCGAGUUCGGGAGAGGUGAGUGGAACUGCGAGUGUAGAGGUGAAAUUCGUAGAUAUUCGCAAGAACACCAGUGGCGAAGGCGGCUCACUGGCCCGAUACUGACGCUGAGGCACGAAAGCGUGGGGAGCAAACAGGAUUAGAUACCCCAGUAGUCC